This 617-nucleotide ribosomal RNA is filed under the name Salmonella enterica subsp. enterica serovar Legon. RNAcentral describes it as "bacterial LSU rRNA". It matches the Rfam family "Bacterial large subunit ribosomal RNA", at positions 116 to 728 of the family's 2925-position model. Lineage: Bacteria; Pseudomonadati; Pseudomonadota; Gammaproteobacteria; Enterobacterales; Enterobacteriaceae. The record is from RNAcentral.
GAAUGGGGAAACCCAGCAUGAGUUAUGUCAUGUUAUCCGCAUAUGAAUACAUAGUAUGUGAGAAGGCACACCCGGAGAACUGAAACAUCUUAGUACCCGGAGGAAGAGAAAGAAAACUCGAUUCCCUGAGUAGCGGCGAGCGAAACGGGAAGAGCCCAAACCAAUAGGCUUGCCUAUUGGGGUUGUAGGACACUCAAUACGGAGUUACAAAGGAAAUGAUUAGACGAAUGGUUUUGGAAAAGCCAACCAUAGAAGGUAAAGGUCCUGUAGUCGAAAGUCAUUUCUCUCCUGAGUGGAUCCUGAGUACGGCGGAACACGUGAAAUUCCGUCGGAAUCUGGGAGGACCAUCUCCCAAGGCUAAAUACUCUCUAGUGACCGAUAGUGAACCAGUACCGUGAGGGAAAGGUGAAAAGCACCCCGGAAGGGGAGUGAAAUAGAACCUGAAACCGUGUGCUUACAAAUAGUCAGAGCCCGUUAAUGGGUGAUGGCGUGCCUUUUGUAGAAUGAACCGGCGAGUUACGAUUUGAUGCAAGGUUAAGCAGUAAAUGUGGAGCCGUAGCGAAAGCGAGUCUGAAUAGGGCGAAUGAGUAUCUGGUCGUAGACCCGAAACCAAGUGA